RNAcentral lists this ribosomal RNA (374 nucleotides) under uncultured bacterium. Its description in RNAcentral is "bacterial SSU rRNA". It matches the Rfam family "Bacterial small subunit ribosomal RNA", at positions 13 to 389 of the family's 1533-position model. The record is from RNAcentral.
UUGAUCAUGGCUCAGAUCGAACGCUGGCGGCAGGCUUAACACAUGCAAGUCGAGCGGAGAGAGGUAGCUUGCUACCGAUCUUAGCGGCGGACGGGUGAGUAAUACUUAGGAAUCUGGCUAUUAGUGGGGGACAACAUUUCGAAAGGGAUGCUAAUACCGCAUACGUCCUACGGGAGAAAGCAGGGGAUCUUCGGACCUUGCGCUAAUAGAUGAGCCUAAGUCGGAUUAGCUAGUUGGUGGGGUAAAGGCCUACCAAGGCGACGAUCUGUAGCGGGUCUGAGAGGAUGAUCCGCCACACUGGGACUGAGACACGGCCCAGACUCCUACGGGAGGCAGCAGUGGGGAAUAUUGGACAAUGGGGGGAACCCUGAUCC